GUGCUGGCUUGGGUAGCGCACAUACUAAAAUUGGAAUGAUACAGAGAAGAUGAGCAUGGCCCCUGCGCAAGGAUGA
This 76-nucleotide small nuclear RNA is filed under the name Sus scrofa (pig). Lineage: Eukaryota; Metazoa; Chordata; Mammalia; Artiodactyla; Suidae. The record is from RNAcentral.